AUGGCGGAUGUAAGUCAUGAGUCAAUGAUGGAGUACUAUCAUAUUGCCAACAAGAUGUUUAAAUGUGAGGAUGAAGGUUAUACAUUCUAUAACAAAUAUGGUCUUGAGAAAGGUUUUAGUGUCCGGAGAAGCUAUGUCGAGUGGGAUGGAUCCAACUGCCAUAUAAUUUUAAGAAAA
This 177-nucleotide ribosomal RNA is filed under the name Triticum aestivum (bread wheat). RNAcentral describes it as "partial small subunit ribosomal RNA". Lineage: Eukaryota; Viridiplantae; Streptophyta; Magnoliopsida; Poales; Poaceae. The record is from RNAcentral.